CCACAAGGGUUAGGCCACCGGCUUCAGGUGUUACCGACUUUCAUGACUUGACGGGCGGUGUGUACAAGACCCGGGAACGUAUUCACCGCAGCGUUGCUGAUCUGCGAUUACUAGCGACUCCGACUUCAUGAGGUCGAGUUGCAGACCUCAAUCCGAACUGGGACCGGCUUUUUGGGAUUCGCUCCACCUCACGGUAUUGCAGCCCUUUGUACCGGCCAUUGUAGCAUGCGUGAAGCCCAAGACAUAAGGGGCAUGAUGAUUUGACGUCAUCCCCACCUUCCUCCGAGUUGACCCCGGCAGUAUCCCAUGAGUUCCCACCAUUACGUGCUGGCAACAUAGAACGAGGGUUGCGCUCGUUGCGGGACUUAACCCAACAUCUCACGACACGAGCUGACGACAACCAUGCACCACCUGUUUACGAGUGUCCAAAGAGUUGACCAUUUCUGGCCCGUUCUCGUAUAUGUCAAGCCUUGGUAAGGUUCUUCGCGUUGCAUCGAAUUAAUCCGCAUGCUCCGCCGCUUGUGCGGGUCCCCGUCAAUUCCUUUGAGUUUUAGCCUUGCGGCCGUACUCCCCAGGCGGGGAACUUAAUGCGUUAGCUGCGUCACGGAAUCCGUGGAAUGGACCCCACAACUAGUUCCCAACGUUUACGGGGUGGACUACCAGGGUAUCUAAGCCUGUUUGCUCCCCACCCUUUCGCUCCUCAGCGUCAGUUACGGCCCAGAGAUCUGCCUUCGCCAUCGGUGUUCCUCCUGAUAUCUGCGCAUUCCACCGCUACACCAGGAAUUCCAAUCUCCCCUACCGCACUCUAGUCUGCCCGUACCCACUGCAGCCCGAGGUUGAGCCUCGGGAUUUCACAGCAGACGCGACAAACCGCCUACGAGCUCUUUACGCCCAAUAAUUCCCGGAUAACGCUUGCGCCCUACGUAUUACCGCGGCUGCUGGCACG
RNAcentral lists this ribosomal RNA (946 nucleotides) under Microbacterium sp. RNAcentral's name for it is "partial 16S ribosomal RNA". Lineage: Bacteria; Bacillati; Actinomycetota; Actinomycetes; Micrococcales; Microbacteriaceae. The record is from RNAcentral.